RNAcentral lists this ribosomal RNA (428 nucleotides) under uncultured prokaryote. RNAcentral describes it as "bacterial SSU rRNA". It matches the Rfam family "Bacterial small subunit ribosomal RNA", at positions 355 to 774 of the family's 1533-position model. The record is from RNAcentral.
UGAGGAAUCUUGCGCAAUGGGGGAAACCCUGACGCAGCAACGCCGCGUGAGUGAAGAAGGCCUUCGGGUCGUAAAGCUCUGUCGGGUGGGAAGAAACGCAUGCAGGCAAAUAAUCUGUAUGCUUGACGGUACCGCCAAAGGAAGCACCGGCUAACUCCGUGCCAGCAGCCGCGGUAAUACGGGGGGUGCAAGCGUUGUUCGGAAUUAUUGGGCGUAAAGAGCGUGUAGGCGGCGGGAUAAGUCAGAUGUGAAAGCCCUGGGCUCAACUCAGGAAGUGCAUUUGAUACUGUUUCGCUUGAGUACUGGAGAGGGAAGAGGAAUUCCUGGUGUAGAGGUGAAAUUCGUAGAUAUCAGGAGGAACACCGGUGGCGAAGGCGACUUCCUGGCCAGAUACUGACGCUGAGACGCGAGAGCGUGGGGAGCAAACA